AGGACCGGAGUGGACGCAUCACUGGUGUUCGGGUUGUCAUGCCAAUGGCACUGCCCGGUAGCUAAAUGCGGAAGAGAUAAGUGCUGAAAGCAUCUAAGCACGAAACUUGCCCCGAGAUGAGUUCUCCCUGACUCCUUGAGAGUCCUGAAGGAACGUUGAAGACGACGACGUUGAUAGGCCGGGUGUGUAAGCGCAGCGAUGCGUUGAGCUAACCGGUACUAAUGAACCGUGAGGCUUAACCUUACAACGCCGAAGCUGUU
This 260-nucleotide ribosomal RNA is filed under the name Escherichia coli. RNAcentral's name for it is "partial 23S ribosomal RNA". It matches the Rfam family "Bacterial large subunit ribosomal RNA", at positions 2688 to 2925 of the family's 2925-position model. The record is from RNAcentral. Lineage: Bacteria; Pseudomonadati; Pseudomonadota; Gammaproteobacteria; Enterobacterales; Enterobacteriaceae.